UGCAGUCGANCGGNAACGCGGUUUCCCUGUGGUCGAGAGGGGAACGGGUGAGUAAUAUAUCUGAAAGCGGCCCCUAUCGUGGGGUAUACCGGCGAAAACGGUAUUAAAACCCCGUGAUACCUGUGAGUGAAAUGGGUGGAUUUGCUCGAACCUCGCGCUAUUGGAGCGGUCGAUAUCUGAUUAGGUAGNUGGUGGGGUAUGGCUNACCAUGCCUACGAUCUGUAGCUGGUCUGAGAGGACGACCAGCCACACUGGGACUGAGACACGGCCCAGACUCCUACGGGAGGCAGCAGUGGGGAAUUUUGGACAAUGGGCGAAAGCCUGAUCCAGCCAUGCCGCGUGAGGGAAGAAGGCCUUCGGGUUGUAAACCUCUUUUGUCAGGGAAGAAAUCCUUUGAGUUAAUACCUCUAAGGAAUGACGGUACCUGAACAAGAAACACCGGCUAACUACAUGCCAGCAGCCGCGGUAAUACGUAAGGUGCGAGCGUUAAUCGGAAUUACUGGGCGUAAAGCGUGCGCAGGCGGUCUUGCAAGACANAUGUGAAAUCUGCGNGCUCUACCUGGGAACUGCACUUGUGACUGCNAGGCUGGAAUACGUGANAGGGGGAUGGAAUUCCNCGUGUAGCAGUGAAAUGCGUAGAGAUGCGGAGGAACACCGAUGGCGAAGGCAAUCUCCUGAGCCUGUAUUGACGCUCAUGCACGAAAGCGUGNGGAGCAAACAGGAUUAGAUACCCUGGGAGUCCACGCCCUANACGAUGUCNNCUGGNUGNUGGGCCGCUUGUAGCUCUGUA
RNAcentral lists this ribosomal RNA (790 nucleotides) under uncultured bacterium. RNAcentral's name for it is "bacterial SSU rRNA". It matches the Rfam family "Bacterial small subunit ribosomal RNA", at positions 56 to 845 of the family's 1533-position model. The record is from RNAcentral.